RNAcentral lists this ribosomal RNA (513 nucleotides) under Salmonella enterica subsp. enterica serovar Kentucky. Its description in RNAcentral is "partial 23S ribosomal RNA". It matches the Rfam family "Bacterial large subunit ribosomal RNA", at positions 2040 to 2562 of the family's 2925-position model. The record is from RNAcentral. Lineage: Bacteria; Pseudomonadati; Pseudomonadota; Gammaproteobacteria; Enterobacterales; Enterobacteriaceae.
AAUUGUAGUAUCGGUGAAGAUGCCGAUUACCCGCAGUGGGACGAAAAGACCCUGUGCACCUUUACUAUAGCUUAGUAUUGUUCUUGGAUAAGUGAUGUGUAGGAUAGGUGGGAGACUUUGAAGUGGCGUCGCUAGGCGUUGUGGAGUCAUUGUUGAAAUACCACCCUUUGCUUAUUUGAGAUCUAACUUCCGCGAGGAAGGACAUUGCUUGGUGGGUAGUUUGACUGGGGUGGUCGCCUCCAAAAGAGUAACGGAGGCUUCUAAAGGUUCCCUCAGCACGCUUGGUAACCGUGCGUAGAGUGCAAUGGUAUAAGGGAGCUUGACUGAGAGACAAACAAGUCGAUCAGGUACGAAAGUAGAGCAUAGUGAUCCGGUGGUUCCGCAUGGAAGGGCCAUCGCUCAACGGAUAAAAGCUACCCCGGGGAUAACAGGCUUAUCUCCCCCAAGAGUCCACAUCGACGGGGAGGUUUGGCACCUCGAUGUCGGCUCAUCGCAUCCUGGAGCUGUAGUCGG